AACAAAAUAACGCAUAGUUUCAAAAUAAUGCAUCGCUUCAAAAACUUCUUUGUAGCUUCAAUCACAGAUGAAGAACGUAUUUGAAGAACACAUCUCAAAAUGCAUAUAGCUUCAAACACAUCAAAGUAGGCUAAAACACUCUCACGCCUAUGGAGGUCGCUGACCAUCAAGAAGAGGGCUAUUGGGAGAUUGUCGGGAAAUGAGGGAAGAUGAGAUUUGCUAUAGAGAAUGCGACAAAGACGAGGAUUGUGAUACAAAGAUACAUAUACUGAGAUCGUUUUUGAAUAUUAAGAUCGCCAGGGAUUCACUUUGUAGCGUUAUAUCGGGUUCUCCUGUUGGUGUACUGAUAUCUCCUAGGAUUGGAUUGAUGUCGGCAACUUAUGAAGACUCCAAACAUCAAGAUGGAUAAGCUGAAAAAUACAGUCAGUUUUACUACUACUAAGAGGGAACUUCAAUCUACUUUGCUUAGCUAAAGGGCACACUUCACAAUUAUGUUGCAUGUUGUCUACUACUUUAUUCUUCAAGACAUAAAUGUGUUUCAUUGUUAUUGUUGAUGGAUGGCCUAAUCUCAUAUGCCAAAGGUUGGAUUCAUCAGUGUCCUUGGUAACCAUUGUUGUUGCAGGUCUGUCUCUCCACUUGAGCACAUAUAGUCCACUGUCCUCCUUACCAAUCCCCAUCACCUUCCCAUUGUAAAGACCCUGCAAUACACAAAAGUCAGGGAAGAAUAGGACAUACCAUCUCAACUCCUUGGUCAACUUAGAGAUUAACAACAAAUUAAACUUAAAAUCUGGAACAUAUAACACAUCCUUUAGUUCAUAGCUUCCUAGAAUAGAAGCAUUUCCUUUGUGUGUCACAGAGCACCUGCUACCUGUUGGCACCUGCACUUUAUGAUUCCUCUGUUGCUUAAUGUUCUUUAAAUUAGACAAAACCUCUUUAUGACAUGUAAUAUGAUGAGAUGCCCCUGUAUUUAUUAUCCACUCACAAAAGGAUGCAUUAGACAGCAAUGUAGUUAUACCUGUCAUAAGCGUAUGACCAUCAUCUGCAUGUGUUUUGUUCAGAAGAUCCGAUAGCUUUUUGUACUAACUUUCAGUGGAAAAAUGUCCCUUUGGGUGGUUCUGAGAAGAACUUGUGGUCUCUUCUGAUAUCAUGUUGGAAUAAGUAUGUUUCCUUGCCCCUACUUUUCUUCUUGCUUUUAAUGUCAGGGGGAUACUCUAUGAUUUUGUAACAAUUUUCUUUAAGAUGUCCUUUGUAUCCACAAUGCACAUAAAUUAUCCCAACCUUCUUAGCUUUAUAUCCUUGAUUAUGUCCUGCCAUCAUAGUUAAGGGCUCUCUAUUUACUUCAAGCACACUUAGCUCACGUUGGCUUUCCUCUUGAAUAACCAAAGCGUAAGCCUGUUUACAGUCAGUACCGGCGUCUUAAGCAAUAUCUAACUUCUUACUUGACUAUAACUUUCAUUAAGACCAAUAAGGAACUGCAACAAACGUAGAUUUUUAAAUUGCUCAAUAAAAGGCCUAGUCUCUUCACAAUCACAACUAGGUGUUGGAACUAACAAGUCAAUUUCAUCCCAAAGGUCGUUCAUUUUUGUGAUGUUACAGAAUCAAUACAUUGCUUUAAUGAUCCAAUUUGUAUCCAUAGAAGGUAAAAACGAGUGAGAUUAGUUUUAUCAAACCUCUCCUUGAAUUCACUCCACAAUGUUUUUGCAUUUGAUGCAUAAAUGAUGCUCGGCUGUAAUUCUGCAGAUACUGUGCGUCUUAUCCAUGAGAGAACAACCGCGUUACAUCUUUUCCACCGAUUUGCCUAUUCUCCUUUGUAAGAGCUUUUUAUGCUGGUUCCUUCUAUGAACCCUAGCUUGUUCUUCACUAGAAGUACCAUGCGUAUCGAUAUACUCCACAAACCAUAAUUUUCAAGUCC
Non-coding RNA from Nicotiana tabacum (common tobacco), 1912 nucleotides. The record is from RefSeq and is a predicted model, not a curated record. NCBI's taxonomy places the organism in Eukaryota, Viridiplantae, Streptophyta, Magnoliopsida, Solanales, Solanaceae.